AGAUAUCGCAUAGACUAUUUCAAUUAAAGCUUUGGCGGUUGAAGAUUGUCGUGCGUCUGAUUAGCUAGUUGGUGAGGUAACGGCUCACCAAGGCGACGAUCAGUAGCUGGUCUGAGAGGAUGAUCAGCCACACUGGAACUGAGACACGGUCCAGACUCCUACGGGAGGCAGCAGUACGGGAAUAUUUGGACAAUGGGCGGAAGCCUGAUCCAGCCAUCCCGCGUGUAGGAAUAACGGCCCUAUGGGUUGUAAACUACUUUUAUUAGGGAAGAAAAACUUUGAUUUAUCAGAGCUUGACGGUACCUAAGGAAUAAGCACCGGCUAACUCCGUG
RNAcentral lists this ribosomal RNA (332 nucleotides) under uncultured bacterium. RNAcentral's name for it is "bacterial SSU rRNA". It matches the Rfam family "Bacterial small subunit ribosomal RNA", at positions 164 to 507 of the family's 1533-position model. The record is from RNAcentral.